GAUAAACGCUGGCGGCGUGCUUAACACAUGCAAGUCGAACGAAGUUUUUCUUUCGGGAGGAACUUAGUGGCGGACGGGUGAGUAACGCGUGGGUAACCUGCCCUGUACAGGGGGACAACAGCUGGAAACGGCUGCUAAUACCGCAUAAGCCCUUAGCACUGCAUGGUGCAUAGGGAAAAGGAGCAAUCCGGUACAGGAUGGACCCGCGUCUGAUUAGCUGGUUGGCAGGGUAACGGCCUACCAAAGCGACGAUCAGUAGCCGAUCUGAGAGGAUGUACGGCCACAUUGGGACUGAGACACGGACCAGACUCCUACGGGAGGCAGGAGUGGGGAAUAUUGCACAAUGGAGGAAACUCUGAUGCAGCGACGCCGCGUGAGUGAAGAAGUAUUUCGGUAUGUAAAGCUCUAUCAGAAGGAAAGAAAAUGACGGUACCUGACGAAGAAGCACCGGCUAAAUACGUG
RNAcentral lists this ribosomal RNA (462 nucleotides) under uncultured bacterium. Its description in RNAcentral is "partial 16S ribosomal RNA". It matches the Rfam family "Bacterial small subunit ribosomal RNA", at positions 28 to 507 of the family's 1533-position model. The record is from RNAcentral.